CAAAGUUUCCUUUGAAGGAAAUGCCAACCCAGACAUAAGCACCCCUGAAACCCACCUGACAGAGUGACAUGGCACCAAGCUUUGCCACAUGUUCUGUGCCAGCCGCAGAUUCCUGAGGUGGCCCAGGUUCAUUACACGCCGGUGGAUAUGCAGUGCAAGGUAGAGGGUUCUGAUCAGGACUCUACUGUACAUCAACGCCAGUCUUCUCCAGCUCACAUAGUGUCCUCAGCUACCUGUGCCAGACACGACUGUCUCCACCUUGCAGAUGGAAAACGGAGGGCACAAGGACAUGAAA
This is a long non-coding RNA of Panthera uncia (snow leopard), 295 nucleotides long. RefSeq lists it as uncharacterized. Lineage: Eukaryota; Metazoa; Chordata; Mammalia; Carnivora; Felidae. The transcript is spliced from 3 exons. The record is from RefSeq and is a predicted model, not a curated record.